This 72-nucleotide transfer RNA is filed under the name Camelus bactrianus (Bactrian camel). It matches the Rfam family "tRNA". Rfam says of the family: Transfer RNA (tRNA) molecules are approximately 80 nucleotides in length. Their secondary structure includes four short double-helical elements and three loops (D, anti-codon, and T loops). RNAcentral also lists the same sequence under 2 other names. Lineage: Eukaryota; Metazoa; Chordata; Mammalia; Artiodactyla; Camelidae. The record is from Rfam by way of RNAcentral.
GGGUAUAAAGCUCAGUGGUAGAGCACAUGCUUAGCAUGCAUGAGGUCCUGGGUUCAAUCCCCAGUAUCUCUA